This 385-nucleotide transfer-messenger RNA is filed under the name Alphaproteobacteria bacterium. It matches the Rfam family "Alphaproteobacteria transfer-messenger RNA". From Rfam's summary of the family: Bacterial tmRNA, also known as 10Sa RNA or SsrA, is named for its dual tRNA and mRNA-like properties. The record is from RNAcentral. Lineage: Bacteria; Pseudomonadati; Pseudomonadota; Alphaproteobacteria.
GUCCUUUAAUGAGCCUCAUUUAAGGCAUAUAUUGUGAGAGCCGGCGCAGGCCGACUAUGCCGAUAAAUGGCCGUCGCGAUAAAUGGCCGUCGUAAUAAACCUAUCGGACCCGGGGGCAGUACCCGGCGGCUCCACCCAAGCCCCUUAGCCCUCACUGCACGGAAGGGGGCUUGGGCGGGGCCGAAACAGGAUCGACGAGGGCGUAAAGGGCGUGCUUUUGCUCGGCAUGGUUCCGCCGUUAUCGGGCCAAUUCCAUAGUUGCCAACGACAACUAUGCUCCGGUUGCCCUGGCUGCGUAACGCAGCUCGGAAUACCGACUUAAAGCCCUGAGGUCUUAGCAGCUUCAGGCGGGGUUCGGAGGCACCUGGCAACAGAAGCCUCCACC